AGAACUUAGCAGAGAUGCUUUGGUGCCUUCGGGGAACUCUGAGACAGGUGCUGCAUGGCUGUCGUCAGCUCGUGUUGUGAAAUGUUGGGUUAAGUCCCGCAACGAGCGCAACCCUUAUCCUUUGUUGCCAGCGAUUCGGUCGGGAACUCAAAGGAGACUGCCAGUGAUAAACUGGAGGAAGGUGGGGAUGACGUCAAGUCAUCAUGGCCCUUACGAGUAGGGCUACACACGUGCUACAAUGGCGCAUACAAAGAGAAGCGACCUCGCGAGAGCAAGCGGACCUCAUAAAGUGCGUCGUAGUCCGGAUUGGAGUCUGCAACUCGACUCCAUGAAGUCGGAAUCGCUAGUAAUCGUAGAUCAGAAUGCUACGGUGAAUACGUUCCCGGGCCUUGUACACACCGCCCGUCACACCAUGGGAGUGGGUUGCAAAAGAAGUAGGUAGCUUAACUUUCGGGAGGGCGCUUACCACUUUGUGAUUCAUGACUGGGGUGAAGUCGUAACAAGGUAAGCGUAGUGCU
This 518-nucleotide ribosomal RNA is filed under the name uncultured bacterium. Its description in RNAcentral is "bacterial SSU rRNA". It matches the Rfam family "Bacterial small subunit ribosomal RNA", at positions 992 to 1509 of the family's 1533-position model. The record is from RNAcentral.